RNAcentral lists this ribosomal RNA (492 nucleotides) under uncultured bacterium. RNAcentral describes it as "partial 16S ribosomal RNA". It matches the Rfam family "Bacterial small subunit ribosomal RNA", at positions 29 to 507 of the family's 1533-position model. The record is from RNAcentral.
AGUGAACGCUGGCGGUAGGCCUAACACAUGCAAGUCGAACGGCAGCACAGUAAGAGCUUGCUCUUACGGGUGGCGAGUGGCGGACGGGUGAGGAAUACAUCGGAAUCUACUUUUUCGUGGGGGAUAACGUAGGGAAACUUACGCUAAUACCGCAUACGAACUACGGGUGAAAGCAGGGGAUCUUCGGACCUUGCGCGAUUGAAUGAGCCGAUGUCGGAUUAGCUAGUUGGCGGGGUAAAGGCCCACCAAGGCGACGAUCCGUAGCUGGUCUGAGAGGAUGAUCAGCCACACUGGAACUGAGACACGGUCCAGACUCCUACGGGAGGCAGCAGUGGGGAAUAUUGGACAAUGGGCGCAAGCCUGAUCCAGCCAUACCGCGUGGGUGAAGAAGGCCUUCGGGUUGUAAAGCCCUUUUGUUUGGAAAGAAGAGCAGCAAGUUAAUACCCCGCUGUUCUGACGGUACCCAAAGAAUAAGCACCGGCUAACUUCGUG